RNAcentral lists this ribosomal RNA (395 nucleotides) under uncultured bacterium. Its description in RNAcentral is "bacterial SSU rRNA". It matches the Rfam family "Bacterial small subunit ribosomal RNA", at positions 64 to 507 of the family's 1533-position model. The record is from RNAcentral.
GAGCGCGUGGCAACACGAGCGGCAGACGGGUGAGUAACGCGUGGGAAUCUACCGGACCCUACGGAAUAACGCAUGGAAACGUGUGCUAAUACCGUAUACGCCCCAAGGGGGAAAGAUUUAUCGGGGUUUGAUGAGCCCGCGUUGGAUUAGCUAGUUGGUGGGGUAAAGGCCUACCAACGCGACGAUCCAUAGCUGGUCUGAGAGGAUGAUCAGCCACAUUGGGACUGAGACACGGCCCAAACUCCUACGGGAGGCAGCAGUGGGGAAUAUUGGACAAUGGGCGCAAGCCUGAUCCAGCCAUGCCGCGUGAGUGAUGAAGGCCCUAGGGUUGUAAAGCUCUUUCACCGGAGAAGAUAAUGACCCUCUCCGGAGAAGAAGCCCCGGCUAACUUCGUG